Molecule: ribosomal RNA, 253 nt
Filed under: uncultured bacterium
Lineage: Bacteria
Description: partial 16S ribosomal RNA
Rfam family: Bacterial small subunit ribosomal RNA
Source: RNAcentral
UACAGAGGGUGCAAGCGUUGUUCGGAAUUACUGGGCGUAAAGCGUACGCAGGCGGCUUUGCAAGACAGGUGUGAAAUCCCCGGGCCUAACCUGGGAACUGCAUUUGUGACUGCAUGGCUAGAGUUUGUCAGAGGGGGGUGGAAUUCCACGUGUAGCAGUGAAAUGCGUAGAUAUGUGGAGGAACACCGAUGGCGAAGGCAGCCCCCUGGGAUGUGACUGACGCUCAUGUACGAAAGCGUGGGGAGCAAACAGG